CGAGAUCCAGGCCGGCAGCCGCCUGCUCUUUGUCAGUGGCCAGAUCGGCUGGAACGGCAAGUGUGAGUUCGAGACCGACGAUUUCGGCC
This 89-nucleotide transfer RNA is filed under the name compost metagenome. Its description in RNAcentral is "tRNA-Gln". The record is from RNAcentral.